RNAcentral lists this long non-coding RNA (1926 nucleotides) under Daphnia pulicaria. Its description in RNAcentral is "uncharacterized LOC124342493". Lineage: Eukaryota; Metazoa; Arthropoda; Branchiopoda; Diplostraca; Daphniidae. The record is from RNAcentral.
CUUUCAAUACUUUUACACGGCGUGGAGGCGGUAAUUAAAUGACACGAUAAAACGUAUACGGCAAGCAAAAGCUGUCAAUACAAUACAGACAACCAAAACAAUGACACAAAAUGGCGGACAUCGAAACAAUUGACACGCGAAACUGCGAUGUGAAUAGCUCCUAUUAAAAACUCUACCUAAAAAACUACGCAUUUUUUCAAUCGCUAUAAUGUUCACCAUGAUACACCAUGUCCUGCUUACGAAUACAUAAUUUUGGAAGAUAACGAAGUGUCGGUUGACUAUGAUUAUAAUGACAAAAGUUCUGAUCAUUAUUCUGAUUCAAGUACCUCUAAAGAAAACAUCUCCGUUGCAGAACUGGACACUGAAUCUAACAUUGAAAGUAUCGAAGGUAAACAGAAGUUGUAUAAUACCUUCAAAAAAUAACCGAUGACGAAGUGUUGGUUGACAUAAAUAACUUUAUUCCCUGACUUUCUCUCGUUUGAUUUAAAAAAAAUAAAAAAAAUAAAGAAACAAAGAAAGUAGAUAAAACAGCCGAAUCUGAUAACGAUGAUUUAAAAAUAAUUUCUCUGAGUCAUGCAGCACGUCUGAUUUGGAGUGGGAUUUCAUGUGUGACUUUACCAAGAUGCGAAUCCGACCACUUCAUAUGGAGCCCAUAUUAUGAGCAACACAAUGUAGUUGUGAUAACAAGAAUAAAGGGAUGAAGAUGUUCACGAAUAUGAAGAGUGCAAAUUGUCAACAUACAGUCUGAAGAUAGUAGAUUGAAUAUUUCAAUUUUAUAUACCUGAAGUUUUCUAUUUGCAGAGCAUAAAUUUGAACCUUUGGUUUGUUAUUUGUAGUAGAUACUUCUGAUCCUUCGGAACAUGGAAAGGAGUUGAAUGAUGCUGAUGAUAUUGAAGAAUUUUAAGGUAUGAACAUUAAACCUAAGUAAAACAGUUAAAAAUAUUGCAAUCAGCAAAAUAAUUUUCAGGGAGUGAUGGAGACAACGAAGAAGAUGAAAAUGAAGUGAAGAAACGAAAGAAAUCAUAACAGAGAAUAAAAGAUAAGAAAAGAAUGAGAAAGAUGGAAAAGGAAUGAUCAGCAGCAGUAGAUGCAGACAACAACUUGGGCGACCUUUCGGAUUGAUUUUCGUCAUGUAACUCGUCUGAUUCUUACUCAGACUGGGGCUCGGACUGGGAUGUUUAAACAAAAGAAAAAAGCUAUGCUUUUCUCUCGAGAGAUAUCCCCAACCCAUAUUGAAAUGGUUUAACUUAAGAUAUCCUACAGGGGUUUGGGUUCUCAUUGGAACCUCCGAAUCUUGGAAUCGACAAAAUAUUCCAGUACACCGACAAGAAAGUGCUGGGUAUCCUUCGGAAUCCACAGACGGGCGAGUUCUCCUUCAGUCCAGAUUGCAUCAUAAGCGAGACAUCAAGGACGGGUUGACAAAACGUCUGUCAUUUUAGCGUGGCACUAACUACGUACGGCCCAUUGGUUCUCAUGAUCAUGAACCUAACAAUGCUAAAAGGAAAACAAUCCAUGAAAACCAAUGGUUAGCCGAUACCAAAUUGGACCAGCUCGUGAAAUCAGAAUUGAUCGAGAUUUAGGAGAAAUUCAUUUCCGAACUCAUCUCUACCAGAUAAAAAUUCCCCGAUGGACGCAGAUAGACAAAAAGAAGACUAGCAAACUUUACAUUUUCUGUGAUGCCAGCAAAACUGCCUAUGGAACGGUCGCUUAUGAAAGCAAGAAGGCCCUACAAUCGCUCUAGUCACCGUUUAAAGUAACCCAUAACGGAGAAGUAAGUAAGUGACUAAGUAAGUUUGGAGGUGAUGACAAAGACUUUGGAGAAGAUACUAAACAUGUUAAGACAGAAAACUCACUUCAAACCCUAAAAAUUUCAAAAAGACGGAGAAAAAUGGGAAAAAAGCUGAGCCUCAGGACAGCAAAUACGAU